CGUCCGGUUUGCAAGCAACGAUCGAAGCCAAGCCUCCGGAAGGCCGCGGGUUCAAAUCCCGCCCGGUCCACCA
This 73-nucleotide transfer RNA is filed under the name Candidatus Bathyarchaeota archaeon. Its description in RNAcentral is "tRNA-OTHER". The record is from RNAcentral. Lineage: Archaea; Thermoproteati; Candidatus Bathyarchaeota.